CUUUAUUAUCAGCUUUAACUUGAUUUAUACAUGCAAGUAUCUGCUCCCCCGUGAGAAUGCCCUUAAUUUCUUUAUCAGAAACGAGGAGCAAGCAUCAGGCACGGACCCUCUUUCCAGCCCAAGACGCUUUGCUAAGCCACGCCCUUAAGGGAAUUCAGCAGUAAUAAACAUUAAGCCAUGAACGAAAGCUCGACUUAGUUAAAGUUACCCGGGUCGGUAAAACUCGUGCCAGCCACCGCGGUUAUACGAGAGACUCUUGUUGAUAAUUACCGGCGUAAAGCGUGGUUAAGGUCUGACUCGCCUAAAGCUAAACACUUUCCCAGCUGUUAUACGCUCUCGAAAAAAGACACCCUUACACGAAAGUAGCUUUAUCCUCCUGAACCCACAACAAUUAGGAAACAAACUAGGAUUAGAUACCCUACUAUGCCUAAUCAUAAACUAUGAUAUUAAAAUACAACUAAUAUCCGCCAGGGUACUACGAGCACUAGCUUAAAACCCAAAGGACUUGGCGGUACUUCAAACCCACCUAGAGGAGCCUGUUCUAGAACCGAUAACCCACGUUUAACCUCACCACUUCUAGCCAAAUCCGCUUAUAUACCGCCGUCGUCAGCUUACCCUAUAAAGGAACCUCAGUAAGCAAAAGAGACUAAAACUCAAAAACGUCAGGUCG
Molecule: ribosomal RNA, 670 nt
Filed under: Vinciguerria nimbaria (oceanic lightfish)
Lineage: Eukaryota; Metazoa; Chordata; Actinopteri; Stomiiformes; Phosichthyidae
Description: partial small subunit ribosomal RNA
Rfam family: Bacterial small subunit ribosomal RNA
Source: RNAcentral